RNAcentral lists this ribosomal RNA (506 nucleotides) under uncultured bacterium. Its description in RNAcentral is "partial 16S ribosomal RNA". It matches the Rfam family "Bacterial small subunit ribosomal RNA", at positions 30 to 523 of the family's 1533-position model. The record is from RNAcentral.
AUUGAACGCUGGCGGCAGGCCUAACACAUGCAAGUCGAACGGUAACAGGAAGAAGCUUGCUUCUUUGCUGACGAGUGGCGGACGGGUGAGUAAUGUCUGGGAAACUGCCUGAUGGAGGGGGAUAACUACUGGAAACGGUAGCUAAUACCGCGUAACGUCGCAAGACCAAAGAGGGGGACCUUCGGGCCUCUUGCCAUCGGAUGUGCCCAGAUGGGAUUAGCUAGUUGGUGGGGUAACGGCUCACCAAGGCGACGAUCCCUAGCUGGUCUGAGAGGAUGACCAGCCACACUGGAACUGAGACACGGUCCAGACUCCUACGGGAGGCAGCAGUGGGGAAUAUUGCACAAUGGGCGCAAGCCUGAUGCAGCCAUGCCGCGUGUAUGAAGAAGGCCUUCGGGUUGUAAAGUACUUUUAGCGGGGAGGAAGGGAGUAAAGUUAAUACCUUUGCUCAUUGACGUUACCCGCAGAAGAAGCACCGGCUAACUCCGUGCCAGCCGCCGCAGUAA